GACGAACGCUGGCGGCGUGCUUAACACAUGCAAGUCGAGCGGUAAGGCCCUUUCGGGGGUACACGAGCGGCGAACGGGUGAGUAACACGUGGGUGACCUGCCCUCAGCUCUGGGAUAAGCCUGGGAAACCGGGUCUAAUACUGGAUAUGACUCCAUGACGCAUGUUGUGGGGUGGAAAGCCUUGUGCGGCUGAGGAUGGGCCCGCGGCCUAUCAGCUUGUUGGUGGGGUGANGGCCUACCAAGGCGACGACGGGUAGCCGGCCUGAGAGGGCGACCGGCCACACUGGGACUGAGACACGGCCCAGACUCCUACGGGGGGCAGCAGUGGGGAAUCUUGCGCAAUGGGCGAAAGCCUGACGCAGCGACGCCGCGUGAGGGAUGACGGCCUGGUU
RNAcentral lists this ribosomal RNA (392 nucleotides) under uncultured bacterium. Its description in RNAcentral is "bacterial SSU rRNA". It matches the Rfam family "Bacterial small subunit ribosomal RNA", at positions 28 to 424 of the family's 1533-position model. The record is from RNAcentral.